This is a long non-coding RNA of Ruditapes philippinarum (Manila clam), 880 nucleotides long. RefSeq lists it as uncharacterized. The record is from RefSeq and is a predicted model, not a curated record. The transcript is spliced from 3 exons. Lineage: Eukaryota; Metazoa; Mollusca; Bivalvia; Venerida; Veneridae.
GUCCAGAGUGUCGCUAUUUUGUUAGUUUAGGAUAAACGGCGUUGAUGAUAGAAAUACAUCGUUACAAUAGUUAAAGGACACGUUUCUGCAAGUUUUACCGAUUAACAUUAGUUUAUAUUAAGAUGAAUAUAUUAAUUGGAGUUUGUCUAUUCACAUUUUGUGUACAUCAUGUUAGUGCCUUACGAUGCUACGGAUGUGAUCCACCCUGCUUUUCACACGAAGGAAUAUAUAUCCUAUAUGUCACUUGCAACGGCUCUUGCUGGAAGUCGGCAAACCAUAUGGUGCCAGUUUAUGGUUGUGUGCCAAAUAUAAGUGUAAACAGGUGCGAUGACAUGAAAAUGUUCAUUGGAUGUUUUUGCAAUACGACCCUUUGCAAUGGAGCAACCGUCAAAUACAUGUCCAGAUUCGGCGUUAUUACAGCAAUAACCGGUGUCAUUUUUAAUGCCUUCAAAGAUGUCUUUUAAAAGAGUUAAAAUCCUGUAAACUUUAUUUCCUGUGUGACGUUAAGGAUUUUAAAUAUGACUGUGCUGUUCAUAAUUAUGAAUAAAAUAACAACGUCAAGUAUAGUAUAUAAAUAAAAUAGAAUAAAAUAAUCUCUUAUUCAAUGUUAGAUAAUAAUGAAGGACAGUAAAUUGUAUAAUAAUUAAACUCUUGUUGUUUUGUUUGUUUUAAUCAACCAUAAGAAAUUUUGAAAUAACAUGAUUUUUUAAAAUGAUAUAGCAAAUUAAUAAUAAAAAGUAAGCUUCCAUUUUAUUACUUCAGUCAUUUAUAGUAAUAAUUAUUUUAUGUAUCUUCCUGAGCUCUUUAAUAGUUCUGUACUACUAAAAUAGACUUUUCCAUAUUGUUAAAACAAAGAAUUAUGUCUGCUUAAAUGUAUGAA